Long non-coding RNA from Cavia porcellus (domestic guinea pig), 15457 nucleotides. RefSeq lists it as uncharacterized. The record is from RefSeq and is a predicted model, not a curated record. NCBI's taxonomy places the organism in Eukaryota, Metazoa, Chordata, Mammalia, Rodentia, Caviidae. The transcript is spliced from 5 exons.
GCAGCUGCCUCUCCCACCCGCUGCUGCUCUCUCUGGUGACAGCCCCUGUCUCACCCUCCAGCAGCCCGCAGUGCCUUGCAGCACAGAUGUCUGCUUUCCUAACUCUUCCACCCCCUGAAUGCUGUCAUCUUGUGUUCCUUCUCCCGAGGGACCUUGGGCAAGUCCCAACCCCCCACUCUAGGUUCUGCUCCUCGCUGGGUUGUCCUCUCAUUCUCUCAGAUAGAUUUAUAACUUAUGCAAAUAAAUGCAGGUGAUUAGGCAGAUGAUUAUGUAAAUGAUGUCUUCUCAUGGCAAUCUGGUAUCUCCAGGAGAAAAUAACGACUGAAAAAUGGAACAUACAGUCAACACAUAGAAGUUUAUUCAGCAACUGGCUCAUGAAAGCAUUCAUUGGAGACUUCCUUGAAUAUUCUAAGAAUUUCUGCCAAGACGUGGACAUAUUCGGGGAUGUUUUGAGACUGGAGUGUAUAUGGUGGUGAUAGAAACUGUGAACUCUCGAGGGCUUGGGGAUAGCAUUGGAGAGCUGAAGGUGAAAAGAUGCGGUGUCAUACAGAGAUGAGAGUCCACAUGAUUAGCGAUGUCAAGGAGUUUUAAAUUUCUUGUAGUGGAUGACAAUAACAACAAAAAAGAGGAAAUAGGAACAUGGUACAGCAGUACCACUUUCCAAGGCAGAAGGAUCAAAGUCCUUCCAUCAGUACCAAGGCACUGGUUCCCCCAACUGUUGGAAGCACCUGGGAGAAGGUGAGGAGACCUAAAUCCCUUCAAGGACAUGGAGCCUGGCUGAAGGUGAGCCUGGCUGAAGGUGAGUCCCUCCCUAGGGACACCUCAUGUCCAAAAGUCAAAGUCAAGUACAAAAGCCCACCUCCUUGCCUCACUUAAGGAAUUCCUGAAGGCUUGUUUGAGCCUUGGACCUCUUCGCGGACCCCACUGAAGCUUCCAUCACCAUCUCCAGCACAGUUCAGCACCCUCUGUUCAAUCCCGCUUUCUUCUCUCCCUUACAGGUGUUCUCAAGGGCAUUCACCAGUGGUCUUUCCACAUGGAUGCCUCUACCUCAGAGCCUCUUGCCUGGGGAAACUGCUCUAUGCUAGACCAGAAGUAUGUCUAGGAUGCAAACUGUAAAAUGAUAUUGGCCGGCAGUACCAGGGAUCAAAGUCAUGACCUUGAGCUUGGCCAGGCAAGCGCUUAUGCCACUUAACUAAACCCCUAGCCUAAAAUGGGAUUUUGGAACUGCAUUACCAACCAGUCAAUCACCAAUAAGGAUAUCAUCACAGGUAGCAAGUGGAGUUUCAUAAUUCUUGGCAUGCUGUGACUGCAAAAUGUUACCAGUGGAGAAGCUGGGAUGGAAUAUCGGUAGAGGAUAAUGAGGGCAAUAUCUCAGGCAUUUGAAAGGUUUAUAGGAAGUUGUAAUUACAUGGAAUCUGUUGGCUGCUGCUGGGGGCUAUUUUUAUACUAGGGAAACAUAAUAAAAGGUGCGAAGGUGAUUAACUACCGAUGUAAGAUGAACUGUGGACAUCAGAAAACUUCCCUGGAAGAAUAUGAAGGACUCAUUUCUUGUAGUCACAGGGGAGACAGAGAGGUCAGACCCAGGACUUAAUUACAACAGAGGUAGAAUUUUAGAGAAGGUAGAAUUUUCAUGGCAUCUUUGUAUGUGUAGCUUAAAGUACUGUUUGGGAAAAAAUAGGAUGAGGUCAUUUGGGUCAAUGAAUUAGGAAACCUGAAACUUUGAAAUCCCAUUAUUUGGGGUCUGUGGAGGUGCCCUGGGCUUUCCUGCUCAACCCUUCUGCUCCCCACCUGGCUCAAGGCAAUUCAGAGGCUUCUAGCUUACACACCAACCAUUCCCACUUCAGGAAACCCUCAACGUCCCUCCUGGCCAUCAGAACAGUAACUAUAGUAUGCUGAGAGCAGGGGAAAGAGGGAGAAGCCCAUCGUCAGCUCCUGUGUACUUUGGAACUUGCCCUCAUUCCUGAUAUGCUGGCUUCCAAGCUACCACCUCGAGGAUCACAGCACUGUAGCACACAACGUAUCACUCAAGGUCCUUAACUUUUAUUUACAUGAGGCAAAACAGCAAAACAGAAGAUCUCUUAUAGUUGCCAAAACUAUAUAAAAUUUGUUUUGCAAAUUUGAUGCCUUCUUCGUAGGAAUACUUCACGGAGGCCUGGACUGAGUAGAUACUGGUCUCCAGAGCAAGGACUGAGAGGACUAAACCCGGAGUCUCCUGCAUGCGAGGCAAGUGCUCUACCAGGGUUACAGCCCUCGGCCUUUCGUUUAUUUUUCAUUUGGCCACAGGGUCCCAGGCUGGUCUUGAACUUGCAACCCUCCUACCUCAGCCACAAGAGUAAGUAAUUGGAAUUACGAGCAUGUGAAAUGACAUCUGGCCAAUGAAGCAACUUGUAAUAUAGAAGAAAGGGACCCAGAAGCUCUCAGAAUCUGGGAAUCACUUUCUUUACACAUAGCCAGACCACGGGGAACUUGAUCCUAUAAUGCAGGGGUAGCAGAUUCUACCAACAACCCACACGGGCAGGAAACGGAUUCUCCUCUAGAGCCUCCAGAAAGCACCACCAGCAGCAGAUUUCAGUCCAGUGAGACCUCUGCCAGACUUCAGGCCUACAGAACCCUGAGAUAAUAAGUUGUGUUGUUUAAACUGCUAGUAACAUAUUAUAUAGUUGCAGAAAACAAAUACAGUUUGCACCUCAAAUAACUACUAAAGAACUCAUAUCUAGAAUUUAUAAAGAGCUUGUAUCUUAUAAUUCAAUAAAAAGCAAACAACUUUUCAAAGAGGCAAAAAUAUAAGUACAUAUUUCAGCAGAGGUUGUAAAAACGGGUAAUGAGCAUCUGAUACAAAGUUUAACAUCAUUACUCAUUUGGGAAAUGCAAAUUAAAAGCACAAUGAAUGUGAUACAGUGUAAUGAAAUGUCUUUUCAAAGAUUGGGUUACAAAAAGUCCCCUGCUAGAAUCUCCUGCCAUCUCAUUGCACAGGAAGCCAGGUUGCCAGGUUGUGAGCUGCCCUGGCAAAGGGUGGUGAAGCCUGCAUGGCAGACAACUGAGAAAGGGUUUCAGCCAACCGCCAGUGAGGAAUGGAAAUCUGGUUCAACAGCACAGAAAGAGUUGGAUCCUACAAAGAGCAGUGGGCGUGCUCCUGCAAACAGGCUCUCCUGCAGUCAGCCUGAAGAUGGCCGAGGCCACCAAAACUGGCCACUGCCUACCUAUGGACUGCAGGCUUGAAUAAACUCCUAAAGCUAGAGAACCAAGUUACCACAUUUGAAUCCUUGACUCAAGGAAACUGUUCUACAAAUGUUUGAUUUUUAAGCCACUAGUCCACAAAGUUUUGGGGUAGAUUGCUACACAGUUUUCCAUAACUAUACAUAACAAAUGCAGACCCAUGAUGAGUGCAAUAAAAAAGACAUCAAUGCCAAAUAUAGAUAAUGUGGAGAAAUUAGAAUCCUCAAACACUGCUUGUGAGAAUGUAAAAUGCGCACCAUCUUGGAAAACUGCUUCAUAGUUUCUUAAAUAUGUAAACAUAAACUCAACAUUCAGCCCACCAACUUCACCCCUAGGACUCUACCCAAGAAAGCAUGUGUUUGUGCAAAAUCUGUAUGUAAAUAUUCACAGCAACAUUCAUCGCGAUAGUCAAAACUGGAAACAACCCAAAUGUCCACCAACUGCUGAACGGAUAAAGAAAGUGUUUUAUAGUUACAUCCUUGACUGCUCUUCAGUAAUGUAAAGGAACAAACUUCUGACACAUGCUACAACACAUGCCAGGCUCGAAAACAUUAGGUUUACUGAAAAAUGCCAGAUGCAAAAGAUUACAUAGUAGAUGAUACAUAAAUGCUCACAAAAGGCAAAUCUAUGGAGACAGAAAGUUAGUGGUUAUUUAGGUUUGGAGUGUGAAUGAGAAUUAACUCUAAUAGGUAGAAAGGAACUUUUGGCAGAAGUAAACAGAUAUUUAUGUAUUUAUUUAUUAGUUUCUUGAGGCAGGGUUUCACUGUGUAGUCCAGGCUGGCAUUGAAAUGGCAGUAAUCCUCCUGCCUCAGCCUCUCAAGUGCUAGAAUUACAAGCAUGGUCACCAUACUCACUGAUAAGUUUUUAAACUCAUUUAUCGAGAAGGCUGCCAAAAUCAAUAGGUACCUAUACCUCAUAAGUUGCUAAAAUAUAUCUAGAAAUGAAUUAAUCAAAAGAAGUAACAAGAGAGCCGGUGAUUUAGCUCAGUGGCAUAAGUGCCUGCCUGGCAAGUGCAAGCUUGUGAGUUCAAUCCCAGGUUUCCUCCCCCCAAAAAAAGAGGUAACAAGAAUUUUCAGAAGAUAAAUAUAACAUUUUAUACAGAGACAUAGAAUAAAAUCUUAAUAAAGAAAGAUUCCAUGUGUCUGAAUAUAAAUAUUUAAUAGCACAAAAAAAUAUUUUCCAUGUGUAUUGUAUAGGAAAUUCUAACCAAAACAUGUAUGGUUUUAUAUUUUAUUAACUAACUCAACAACAGGAUUCUAAAGUUUGCAUAAAACAAUGUGUGAUAAGUUACAGUUACCAAAACUUCAGCACAGUAAGAACUGUUUUCUGUAGAGUGCUACCAUCUCCAGAUUAAACCAUUGUAUAAAAGUGUAUCUCCACUAUUUAGACAGAAAACCUACCUUGUAAUGGAGUUCCACUGUAGAAACAUACGUGGACGCAAACCCAUCCCACACCAGUGUGUUCAGGUGUAUGCAAGGGAGAGUGAACAUGGUCUGUGAAUUGUUAAGCGCACAUGAGGCUUUGCAUAAUCUCAUCUCCUCUUUUUAUAAGGUAAGGGGCAAGGACCGUUCUUAAAAAAUAUUUCUCAUUGUGUAAUUACUUAUAGAGUUGAAGAGAAUGAGGUUCUAAAUGGGUGUCCCUGAUGAUGCAAAGAAGAAUAUUCAGGAAAGGAGGAAAACCAGGGGUCGGCAGCAUGAGGUCUCUGCUUACCCUGUUCCUUUGGAGAACCAUGAACUGUGCCCAGUGAACCAUGAACUAUACCCAACAGGCCCAGUGUUUGCUUGUUCAAUUACCCAGGGCAAUUGUUAAUUGUAAUACAUCGACUUGACUUGAGGAAGAAAUGCCUAGCAGAUUAGUAAAGCUCUGAAUGUGUUUGUAGCUGGUUGACAUAGGCCAAAAGCUGAGUAGGGAAGACCCACAACCAAUAGGCUUGUAGCCUCAAUGGAAUAAAAAGGGAAAGAAGAAAGAAGCUUCCCCUUUUUCUUCAGAGAAGGGCUCAUCUUUGCCUUUGAAGUGUUGAUGGCCAUUUUGGAUUCUUCUGUCUUUGAUUCCACAGAUGGUCUAUAGUGAGCCCUUUCACAUCCUUCUCAUGGUCCAGAAAGUUUAUAUUUGUAAUCCCAUGGGAACGUUAUUGGAAUUCUAGUAAAUUAAUCCCAAUCUGCCACUUCCAGUGCAACCCAAGAUGAGCAUAAAGACACUAAGACAUAUUUAUAGUUAUGGGGAGCCAAGAAGGUCCUAAGCCCAGCCAAGAUGAUGGUUCACUGGAACAAAGACCCAGACCCAACCUGGGUUGUAUUAAUGCAGGGAGUAGCUCAAGCAUGAGUGACAAUGAGGAAUGUGUGACUGCCACAUGAGCUGGGCCAGGUAGGAGGUCUGAAAUCACCUCUGCGGUAUGCACAGGGCAAGAAAUGCAGAGAGUAAUCUGCAUAACACAACUGAGUUAGUAUCUAAUAAUUUGGGGUCAGUGCUUCAGCUCUGAUGGACAAUCUUUUCUGCCCUGGGAAGUCAAAGCUUUCAGUUCCAGCUGACAGCGUGGAACAUGGCUCUCCAUUCCACCCAGCUCAACCGUGAUUUUCUGGGAGUCACUGGGCAAGGAAACGGUGACUGUCACCUUGCUUCAGAGAUGGCACAUCAGCUCCUCAGCCCCCCAGUUUACAUUGCUUAAAGGGACAAAGAAAUAUCCUGGGCAGCUCUGCACACAUCAAUACAUGGAGACAGGGCCAAGUGUAUCCAAAAUGGAGACAGUUAUCUUCUUUCAGGGAGAGUUCCCCAGGUGAUUCCCCACAAUGGCCAGUGGAACUCUUCCUCUUCUGAUCCCGCAAGCCUACCUGAUACAUCCUUUGUAUACCUGUACAUGUAUUUUAUAUUGAUGUUGUUCCUCUAGUGAACCCUGACUAAUCCACACAGUAAAUCAGCCCAGUCCGCAAUGUGUGGCAAGAAAAGCUCAGCAGAAAAGGAUGAAAACCGUCCAGGGUCUACAACUUCUUUCACUCCCUGGUGGCCUAAAAGAUGGAUAAGAGAGGAUGGCAGAGAGAGGAGGAAGGACAAGGUAAGUGUGAGGAGGAGCCAGUGGAAGGGAGAAAGCGGAGGUGUCAGUGUUGUGGCCUGGAAAGAUGGCGGGUGCCCUCCAUGCCUGGAACAUGGCGGAUGGCUCUGGGACGUCUAAGAGCUGGAGCACUCUCCUAGCAAUGGCAGUAUUGCUCAAUUAUGAUAGAGAUGGCUUGUGACACACCGUACAUCCCAGACUUAUCAGGAGAACUUAAAGCAAUUCUGCCUAUGCCCCAUACAGACUCAGUGAAGGUGUUUAAGGAUGGGGCAAAACUCUUAAAAAAUUCCAUAGUUGCUUUUGAGCUCUUGCUGCUGGGGGUCCAAGAGCAGGAAGUUGUACUAGUCACUACAAUAAAGAUGGCCGUCAUUCCUGAUAAGUUGGUUCUAGGCUGUACAGUGAAAAGAAGAAGAAGAGAAAACAAGAAUAUAAAACAGAAAGGAUCAGAACAGCCCAUUUAAUAGUCAUUAUUAUCAUUUCUCAUCAGUAUAACACUGUUGUCCAGGGACACUUCGGAAACUCUCAGAACGUUAAUGGGCCUUUUGAGAAGUAUCUAAGGUACUUGUCCAGGCCAGUUUUGGGCCAGACCUAAGUACAUCCAUUAGAGAAGUUUGCUCAGGACACAAUUAAAGCUGGGUUUUCCGGCUUCAUUUCCUAUCUGCUUCUGAAUGUGGCUGUAAAGAAAGGAGGCUAUUAUUUCCACGUCUGGUUUAUUACUGUGAAAUAUAUUGAGAAUAUUUUCUUUGGGUCAACAGGAAUGGUUGUUUUGGAAGUACUUUUUUUACACUACAUGAUCUAAAAGUUAGUUUGACCAAGAUUGGACGGAAUGCUUCUUUUUUAGCCUCUUUGUAUUUUUAAAAAACUUUGCUCAUUAUGUAGCAUGUUGAGGAUGAUCUAUUUUGCCUUUUACUAAAUUGUUAAAGUUUUGACAGAGCUAUGAGUCAAAAAGCAUCCCUUCCCUCAGCAGCAUCCACAUCGGAAGAGAACAACUGUCAUCCAGUCAGAGAAUGGCUUUUCCUAGUGAUUCAAAUAGACUUAUUAAUUGAAUUCUCUCCUUGGUUCAUUCGCGUUAACUUAAUUCUCUGAGGUCCUCUGAGACAGAAGUGGAUUAAAAUUAUGAUAAAGCACAGGUAAAUUGUGCUUCUGAAGGAAGAGGAAAAGGUGAUUAUUUUCUCUGCUUCUAGCUGCUCACUGGACAGGGAAAGACUCUGUCUUCCUGAAUUAUAGAGGUACUCACAGAUAGUGCAGAGACAAAGGUCUGUCUCAACCCUAACUCUGAUAACAGCAUCCAUCCUGGAGGCUCUGCUGGGACAGAGAGGACAACAGCAUUUUCACAAAAUGUCAAGAGGAAGCUCAAUGUAGACAUGUGCUAAGGCCUCCCACGUGAGACAGGGUCACUUUUUUGAAACACAUUCCUAUAAACGUUCACAAGAAUAAAAAUAAAUUACAGAGAACAAAAUUAAAAUGAAAACAAAGACCAAGGAAACCAACAAGAUUUUUCAAAAGUCACAAAAUCCAAAUGAACAAAUGGACCAAGGGCUUUGGGCAAAAUUAGGACCAAUAAAGACAACUAACACAUGGACCAGGGAUACAGCUCAGUGUCACAAGUGCCUGCCUGGCAAGCGCAAGAUCCUGAGUUUGAUUCCUGGUACAAAAAAAAAAACACUGACACAACUCCAGCACAGCCACAGCAAUCGGGUCAGGGUUCAUUACAGGGGUAACAGCAGAGCAUCAGCCUUCUGACCUGAGGCUCCCAGGGGCUGCUUCCCUUGCCCAUCCCUCCUGGGAAAGGUGUGCAUAGAGCCCGGAUGCUCUUGGUCUUUGAAUAGCGGCACCCACUUCCAGCUCAUACCAGAAACCUGCACGCGGGAACCAGGAGUUCUUAGUCCAGGUCAGGGACAGCUGUUGGCCACAGGCAAGAGCGAAGGACUGGCAUUUUACAGGACCCUUCCGCUCCGCAGUGGAGCCUAAGCAAUCUGAUUUGGCCAAGUAAUUCUGCAUUGCUCUGCUAAAUCUGUUGUACUGCAGUAGCCUUAGGGGUUUCAUAUAACAAGGAAAUGAAGAUGUAAAAAGCUUCCACAGUCAGCCCUCCAGGACACAGUGUGGAGUGUGCAGAGAAACCUGCAGACUCUCCUAAUCACAUUUGUAGAUAAGUAACCUUCUCUACACUCGCUUUCCGUCUAUAACUGGUUCCAAAGUGCUGACUACACAGAGCAUUGGGAAUUCCCUCCUCUCCCCGGAAACUGAGUUUUAAUCAUUUCCCCUCUUUCGUUUACCCACUUGAGUAGGGGCAGUGGAAACAUGAUGAACUGAUGCAGUAUUUUCACAAAUAGAAAAAGGAAACACAAAAGAUUUCUACCCACACAUACUUUUAAAAUCAAGACAUAAUGUAUGCAACCAGAAAUGCCACGCAGUUUUUUAGCCAUGGUUUUCGUAGCUGACUUACUGAUAUCUUUAAGACUAUCUGUAGUGUUUGUGUGCCACGUGGGAAAAGUGACAACCAGAAAAUAUUAUCUCCAGUCUCGUCCUUGUUUCUUCUACGUAUGUCAAUGGCUCUCAAAGAUCAACAUUGAUUGAGACCACCUGGGCACUUGUUAGAGAUGCAACUUCUUGGUCCCUAUCGUAAAUGCACUAAGUCAUAAUGAGGAGGGCGCUACAAUCUAGGUUUCCAAAGAUUCUGAUACAUAGUAAGGUUGGAGAAUGAUUGUUCUGGGUCAAGACAAAUGCAUUGGCUUCAUAGGAAUAUAGAUUUGCACAUUAAACAUAACAAAUCCAAAUAUAUUUAAUAUCAGCAUAUUAGUAUUUUCUGGAACCUGUGUAUCAAGUUAGGAUAUAAAUUUUGUUUUGCCAAAGGACUGCCUACCAAUAACUGUAUCUGAAAACAAAGAAUCUGGGUGGGCUGGCAUGCACCUACAAUCCUAGCAGCGGGGUGACUUAGGCAGACUUUGAAGCCAACCAGGGCAAUUUAGUGCCUCAGAGGAAAACAAUGAGAGUGGCUGGGGCCAUGGCCAAGUGUUUGGUCAGGAGUCUAACAUUCACCAGACGCUCGGUUCUACCUCUGGUACAAACACAGAGCAAGUCUUAGAUGAGUUUUCCAAGGGAUUCGAAUCACUAAACUCCAAAAUAGGCCCAGGAGAGCCGCUCUGGAUGUAGCAAGGACCAAACACUGGGAGUCAGGUUACUAUAGCCUUUGUGCUCUCAGACUGUGGUUUGAAGCUGGGGAUAUAGCUCAGUGGCACCUAGCGGUGCAAGGUCAUGAGUUUGAUUCCUGGUACAAAAAAAAAAAGCCCCCCAAAAGAUUGCUUGUGGUCCACAUGACUAUGAUGGAGAGGAGCUCGUGUCUUUUGACAUAAAGUCCUCAGCCCAUUUCUCUGCCACAAUGCACCUCCUCUAUACUAAGCAGGCUUUCCUCUUUCCCUUGGAUGAAUUUAAUGAUUUUUAUAGGAAAGAUUGAUUUUUUUUUGAUACCAGGAAUCAAACUCAGGACCUCUCACUUGCCAGGCAGGUGCUAUGCCACUGAGCUCAUCCCUAGCAAAACAUUGAGUCUUUUAAAACUCAAAAAUCUUCAUUAGCUCUUGCCCCUGUAUUACCAGUGUUAAAAAUCUGUCAUAUCUCCUUGUUCUUUACCUAAACAUUUCCAAGAUCUUAAAAAUGGAAGCUUUAAUGGCUGAAAGGAGUUGAUCCAUAGAGAUCUACCAUUUUUGGAUAAUAAACACUCAAAAAGUAGAUAUUUGAGUUGUUUCCAAUAUUUUAUAAUGAAAAAGCUUCAGUGAUCAUCACUAUGCUCCAAUCUUUGUGCACUGGUGAUUAGUUCUGUACAGUAAAUUAUCAAGAAGAGAACAAGUCACAUUCUGUUUUCUAGUUUUUCUUAUUUGCUUUGUAUAACUAACUGCUUUUAAAUCACUAAUAUUUUUUUUUAGAGAAUAAAGCCAAGGAAAAUAAAACAGAAUAAAACGAAUCAAAAUAAACUAUUAUAAGUGAUAUAGGAUUUCAGAACCUUACAAAAUCAGCAAUAGCUACCAUAAUGCCUUUUGUUGUCUUCAAAAUAGCUUCAGAUACCUUCAGACAAGCAAAAAUCGAACAGAACAGAAUAGAGUAGAAUUAAUAAAAACAAAACAAUGAACACAAUAAAGGACUUCAAAAUAAGCUCAUAGUAAAUCCAAAAUGGCUACCAUAAUAUGUCUCGCUAUCUUUGAAACAGCUGCUCACUCCACCAGAUUUAACAUAAUCAAACAAAACAAAAGAGAAUAAAACCCAACCGAAGAAAACAAUGAAAAUGAUACGUUUUCAGGCAGGUUUUCUCUCCCUGCACAGACCUGAAUGAUGCUGUCUCAUGGAGAGAGGCUUGGGUGUGGCUGCCCCCGACUGGGGCAGAGGCCAUGAUGCUGGUUUCCAGUGAGGCCCACCUCAUGGGCCUCAAUCACUAAUAGUUUUUCAUUAAUCAAGUUUUAAACACAUUUCAGAGUUAGUCACACACUUACUUUAUAACCCAGCAAAAUCAUUCUCAGGUAAUGACCCAAGAGAAACGGUAAUAAUGUCUUUUAAAAAGCUAGGGAUUUAGCUCAGCAGCCCAGCACCUGCCUGGCAAGCGCGAGGUCAUGAGUUCAAUCCCCGCUACCAAGAAAAAAAAAAAAAAAAAAAAAAAAAAAAAAAGAAGAAGAAGACUUGUGACAGUCUAAAGGGGAAACCAAGAGUGGUUACAUACACUACUGCCAGCAUGUACGACUCUUCAGUUACAGUGGCUGAUUUUACUUGUGUGUCCAUUGUAUAGCAAAGAAACCAAGGGGUCAUUCUUAACCAUGUCUGCUUGAGAACUGCUAAAUUCUAGAAUCCCAAGUAAAACCAAUUGUGAGCUACAAAAUAAAUAAACAUGUAGAGCUGAAAAAAAUAGAAAUAACACCAAAAAAUAAUUGUGAAAUAAAAUUAAUACAUAGUAGGUCAGAAAAAAAUUUAAAAGGCCAAAAUUAUUGAAGCGAUUUUGGGGGAAAAUUAUUGCUUUUUAAUUUGUGCUUAUUUCUGUAAAGGUUUUGCAUUUAUAUACACUCUAUGUUAAAUAUACUUUUUAUGGUAGUAAGGAUUGAAUCCAAAGCUUUGAGCUUGCUAGGCCAGACUUCUUCCACUGACCUACACAUCUGGCCCUGUAAAUUUAUAUUUAAAACAUUUUUUUUAUACCAUCAGGAAUCUUACCUCUUUUUUUCUACUAGGGAUAGAUUUAGAAGCUCAUCCAUGCUAUGCAAGUACUGUGCCAGUGCACUGUAGUGUAGGGUCCAGCUCUUUUUUAAUGUUCAUUUUGAGACAAAAUCAUGCUAAAUUGCAUAAACUGGGCUCAAACUUGACAUCCCCUUGCCUCACCCUCCCAGACAGUGAGAUUACAGGUGUAUUCUAGCACGCCUGGCUUUAAAAUAUUUUUAACUAAAUUGCCAUAAGAAAUAGAUAGUCCCAAACGGGGGACAAAAAUGAUUUUCUUGCCUGGGAAACAAAACAGAAAAGAAUAAUUAUUUUUUCCCCAUUUUUUCUCCAAGUGCUGUAGAUUGAACCCAGGGCUUCAUGCACGCUAGGCAAAUGCAGUCCCACUGACACAGUCACAGAUUAAAAUCAUCCUUUGUUAUCAGUGCUGUUUCACACAGUCAGUUCUGGUUCUGCUGAUUCUGGUACCCUGUGGGCAUUCUGAAUUUCAAACAUCUCUGCGUACUCUUGAUGAUUAUAAUUUUAAAUAGCUGUACAUGAUUGUCCAUUAAAAAGCUUGGCUAGGUGAAUUGUUUCCAGGCAGAUAAUGCCUUGAUGUUUGGAUGCCACCAAGUGGACAAACUCUGUAAUGUUGCUGAGACUGAACGUUUGUUUUAUACAUCCAAAAAUUUCAAUUUAAUGUUGAAGAUUAAAUAAAAAGUAAUUCAAAUUAAAAUGAGUUUAAAACAUGAAGCCCAUGCUUUAAGUGCACUGCACAAUGAUUCAUAUCCAUCUCUUGAAAUUUAACUCUGAAAUCACAGUCUAGGAAAAUUGGGCAGGUAAAAAGAAACUGCUGUCAAAAUUGAGGCCUUCUACAAACUAAAAUGACAGGCGUGGAGGGUACAUCUGGGGCUGCCUAGAGCCCAAUCCAAAGAAUGAUUAGGGAACUUUCAGAUGUAAACAGCCUUUGCUCCAAAUGACCCAAGUGACUUCUACCAAAGCAAGCAGCCCUGCCCGGAAGUACGAUGAUGCAGCCUGGUGAAGGAAAAGUCAUCAAGGAAUUCGUUUCCACCUGGGCAACGCUUGCCAACUCUCCUUAGGAGUCACCAGUGUUUUCUCCAUAUAGUUCCUCGCCUCUCCUGUACAAGCAUCACUAACACACUGAAAGAGUAACUGGCUGGAGCCCCACCACCAGAGGAAAAAAAAAAAAGAUUCCAAGAAAGUGUUUGGCAUUUUUCAGGAUCAGCACAACCACGUCCUUUACAAGGAACCCCUUGGAGUGAACCUCUCAGCUUUGCCAAGCAAGAGAGCAUCCUACCCUGUCUUAGGCUUUGAUCUCCACAUUCCUCCCAGGAAUUUUCUCUAUUAGAUCUUUUUCCCCAUGCCUCCUUGCUCAUAUAAAACUGACAGCCUCCACAGACUGAGAAGAAAGAGUUUAAAAUGAGACAAACUCCUGGCACACCACUAAAGGAACACCUAAAGGUGAAAACAUCCUAAGUCUAUAAAGCAAAAAGCCCUGGACAGCGAUGUGGUGUGGUCAGCAGAGAGAAGCUACAGAGUCAGACUUAGCAUGGGGCGUUGCCAAGCUGUCUUCUGCAGGCUAAUGUGUGUGAGUGUGUGUGUGUGUGUGUGUGUGUGUGUGUGUGUGUGCGCGUGCGUGUGCCCACCUUUUGCUUCUACUUUAAUUCUGUUUCUUAGUUGGAAAAACACUCAUGUGAUAAAAAUUUCCAAAAGUACAGAAGAAUAAAUUGUAAAAAGUCCCCUUUCAAAUGCUUCUGCUUGCUGACUUAGUACCAUACUCAGAAGCAACCAUAAUAAAUCUUGUGCAUUCAUGCAUAAAUAUUUUAUGCAUAAACCAACAGUUGCAUUUAUACAUUCUCUCCAUGUACAUUCUGUUACAUCAUCCCUGCUGUUAUGCCAAAUACAAUAAUGAUUUUAUCACUUAACAUACCCAAGGGUUUAUGCCAUAUCAGUACAUUUUAUUUUUCAGGUACUGAGAAUCAAACGCAUGACCUUGUGCUUCCCAGGCAGGCACUGUACCACUGAGCUAUAUUUCUGGUUCCAGUACAUUCAUUUUAGAGUUGUAUCAUAGUCUAUUACAUGAAUGUCCCAGAGGAGAUUUAAGGUGCAAUUAAAACUGCACAGAAUAUGUCCUUUUAAAAUCAUGUCCUUUUAAAAAUGGACAUUUACCUUGUUCCCAAUUUUGUGCUACUUUAUCAUUAUAUUCUUUUUUUUUUUUUGGUCUUUUUCCUUUUUAUCGGUACCGGGGAUCGAAUUCACGACUGCCUGCUUACAAAGCAGGCGCUUAUGCCACUGAGCUAAAUCCCCAGCCCACUAUCAUUAUAUUCUUACCUAAAAUCCUCUGGGUAAAUCUGAUUGCUCCUUCAACAUGAUCUGAAUUCACAACUUUAUCCAGAACACCCAGCUUGAGUGCUUGACCUGCUGAAAUAUAUCAUCCUAAAACAAAACAAAACAAAAUAGGGGCUGGGGAUUUAGCUCAGCGGCAUAAGCGCCUGCCUUGCAAGCAGGCAGUCGUGAGUUCGAUCCCUGGUACCGAUAAAAAGGAAAAAGACCAAAAAAAAAAAUAUAUAUAUAUAUGUAUAGAACAACAUGAAAUGAAAGUGACAGUUUUACUCUUUCUAGUAAGAAUGGUUGUGUUUCCUGGGUAUAAAUAUCUGUCAUUAAGUAAAAUGAACAAGGACCAUCCCGAUUGCAAGGACAGAAAGAUCAUUGCAGACAUAAUCAGAAAAACACAAUUCAAGCUCCAGUGAUGAUUUUCCAGGAAUUCUGUACCAGGACCAUAAUUUCCUUAUGAAUAAGGGAAAUGAUUAUGCUUACUUCACUAAUUCAAAGGUGAAAACUAAUGUGGUCUCUCUUCUUUUUGUAAAUCCCAGCACAAGCACUUUGUAACUUAUAAAUCUCUACAGAAAGCUGAGGGGAUUGAUUCCAGCUAAUAUUAUAAAAGUGCUGGCAGCAGGGAAAUAGCAGCACUACCCGCCUUACACACCCAAGAGGCUGCAGUUGAACAAAAGAGUAAACCUGGAGUUUUCCAAAAGAAAAAAUGUGGACGUGAAGAACAGAAGCAAUUACUGAAGGCCACUGCUUCAGCAAAUAUGUCUGUUCUGAAGCAUCAGUGGCUUUUUGUUGUUCUUGUUGGUGUUAUCAGGGAUCAAACUCACAACCUCAUACUUGCCAGGCAGGUGCUUGCACCACUGAGCUAAAUCCCCAGGCCCCUGCAGCAUGCUUCUUUAUGGCUGACCGCAUUGCUAAAGCUAAGAAGCCCUUCACUGUUAGUGAAAAGUUGAUUGUGCGUGCUGCUAAGGACAUUCGUCAUGAACUUUUAGGAAGGCUGCAGUGCAAAUGGUGGCACAUAUUCCAUUUUUGGUUGGCACCCUAAGUAGACAAGCUGAUGAAAUAGUAGAGGAUACUUGAGGGGUGAUCCUUAGAGAGGAUCAAUGAGAGUCCCUGUGAUAUGAAAUCCAGUUCUACCAGUGUUGUCAACAAAGCAACAAGCCUUGUUUGUGUUAGACAUGUUUCAGGAUGAUGUGUGUGGGGGUAUAUUAUGUGCAUUUUUGUUGUCCACCAACACCACAGCUGUAGAUUUAUUCAAGUUGGAAUAAUUACAUAUUAGGAGAACUAAAUUGAUCAUUUUGUACCAGUACAUGCAUGGAUGGGGAAGAUACCAUGACAGGUUUUUGAUGUCAUUACUCUGGUCAAAGGGAUAACUUUGAAUGUGAGUCUGCUUACUGUGCCAGUCACAGAGAAAUGCUGAUGAGCCAAAAAUUGUCAUCUGAACCUAAUGUUUUGCAGGAUGUGGUUAAAAUUAUCAGCCACAACAGUGAGCUAGACCUUUUGCAAAUGGAAAGGGGAAAAAAAAGAUUUAGGGAGAGGGAAAGAAGAGGGAGGGAAAGGUGCCAUAAAAAGGGUGAAAAUAUGUCAUGUAUAUGUACCAACUCCCUAUGAUGAAUGUUAUCACUGUGUACUACAAGUGCAUACUAAUAAAGAUAAAAAUUUAAGAAGAAAAUCAAA